UACCGGCAGCUCGAGUGGUGAUCGAUAUUAUUGGGCCUAAAGCGUCCGUAGCCGGUUAGGUAAAUCUCUGGGUAAAUCGUAUCGCUUAACGAUACGAAUUCCGGAGACACUGCCUGACUUGGGACCGGGAGAGGUUGGAGGUACUCCAGGGGUAGGGGUGAAAUCCUGUAAUCCUUGGGGGACCACCUGUGGCGAAGGCGUCCAACUAGAACGGCUCCGACGGUAAGGGACGAAGCCCUGGGGCGCAAACCGGAUUAGAUACCCGGGUAGUCCAGGGUGUAAACGCUGCGGGCUUGGUGUUGGAGGUUCUACGAGUUCCUCCAGUGCCGGAGAGAAGUUUGUUAAGCCCGCCGCCUGGGGAGUACGGUCGCAAGACUGAAACUUAAAGGAAUUGGCGGGGAGCACUGCAACGGGUGGAGCGUGCGGUUU
This 429-nucleotide ribosomal RNA is filed under the name uncultured archaeon. RNAcentral's name for it is "bacterial SSU rRNA". It matches the Rfam family "Archaeal small subunit ribosomal RNA", at positions 474 to 903 of the family's 1478-position model. The record is from RNAcentral.